RNAcentral lists this small RNA (81 nucleotides) under Escherichia coli. RNAcentral describes it as "partial RtT sRNA". It matches the Rfam family "RtT RNA", at positions 1 to 79 of the family's 130-position model. From Rfam's summary of the family: This family represents a bacterial cis-regulatory element known as RtT RNA. The exact function of RtT is unknown although it is thought that it may be involved in changing the cellular response in relation to amino acid starvation. Lineage: Bacteria; Pseudomonadati; Pseudomonadota; Gammaproteobacteria; Enterobacterales; Enterobacteriaceae. The record is from RNAcentral. RNAcentral also lists the same sequence under 1 other name.
AUUCUGCCCAAGCGGGGAAGGAUGAGAAGCUUCGACCAAGGUUCGACUUGAGCGCCAGCGAGAGAGCGUUGCCGCAGGCAA